AGCAGUCGCCGCGGGAAUACGUAGGUGGCAAGCGUUGUCCGGAAUUAUUGGGCGUAAAGGGCUCGCAGGCGGUUUCUUAAGUCUGAUGUGAAAGCCCCCGGCUCAACCGGGGAGGGUCAUUGGAAACUGGGAAACUUGAGUGCAGAAGAGGAGAGUGGAAUUCCACGUGUAGCGGUGAAAUGCGUAGAGAUGUGGAGGAACACCAGUGGCGAAGGCGACUCUCUGGUCUGUAACUGACGCUGAGGAGCGAAAGCGUGGGGAGCGAACAGGAUUAGAUACCCCCGUAGUCCCUGUCUCUUAACA
RNAcentral lists this ribosomal RNA (303 nucleotides) under uncultured bacterium. RNAcentral describes it as "partial 16S ribosomal RNA". It matches the Rfam family "Bacterial small subunit ribosomal RNA", at positions 507 to 808 of the family's 1533-position model. The record is from RNAcentral.